CCACAGUGUUGGAGAUAUGUGACAUAGACCUACACCGCCUUUUCAGCUUCAGCUGUAAGACCACAUGUAGAAGUGGAAGUUUAACAUGAGUUGACAUGAGCCGAUGAACCUGUAGACGAACAUGCUCUAGGUGAUGUAUAUGGCUGCUGUGCGUCAUUUUUGCUGGUUCAUAUUCUGGAGGGUUAUGUUAGUGUGUCCUAUGGGUUAAAAAAAUAAAUAAAUAAAAAAUACCAAGACGAUCUAUAAUACUUGGGCUAAGCUGUCUUUCAGCAUUCCCUUUGCUGGGUCUCUGUCAAAACAUUGACUAUAAUAUGAUGAAAUGUUUGGUACUCUUAUAUUGCUUCCAGAAGCAUUUAUUUUGUAAGAAUACAGAGCUGCUAUUCGAUGCCUGACAAUAGAGAAAUAUGCUUUCUGCCAGCACGGCCUAACUGAACUAUGGUAACCUACCAAUUGUACACCAACCAGAGUAGCUUUCUGUUAUUUCCAAUUAGCAGUAGAAGGCUGAUAGAGUAGCUGGCAUUUUUGAUAGAUUCAAUAAAAAAAAAACAAAAAAAAAAACUCUUAAGUAUUAUAAAUUUUGCAAUAACAGGGAUCAUGAUUCUGUCAAGAUAUAUGCAACACUCAGUUUGCUUAAGGCCAUUUUAACUUUAUUUUGAACAUCCAGUUCCUCAGUAUGCAAAUUUAUUACACAUAUACAGUACAAUUUUUCAUGUACGGUGAAAUUUUGGGGUCAGUAAGAUUGUAUUUUUAUGUUUUGAGAUAAAUAUAUUAUUCACACUAAAGCUGGAUUUAUUAGAUUAUCUCUCUCUCUCUCUCUCUCUCUCUCUCUCUCUCUCUCUCUCUCUCUCUCUCUCUCUCUCUCACAUUCUCAGUACAGGCUCCAUGUCAAGAUCAAAUAAAGUGUCAAAAGUCUCUCGGGUUGGAAGUGGCUGUGGACAUGGAAGACCUGCCUUCUCCUGGCACAGUAGAUCGAUAGUUCCCUUUCAAGGGAACUUUGAACUGCAUCCUCUUGGGGCCGCUAUGGGAAACACCUCUUCAGGAUCCGUGCCUGAAGCAUACAUUGGCAAAACACCAACUUGUUGGCUGGCUACAGCCUCUGAUGUCACUACCGGCGCGACUAUAAACAGGCACGGGGAGAACACAUCAUUCUCUUCUUCGUCGUCACUGACAGUUCUGUUUGAAGCGUGCAUCUGAGAACUGAAGAACUGGUAAGAGCGAUCUUUCUCUGUAUAUCAUGGUGACUACUAGCAAGCGUUUAGACGAUGUGUGCAUCCGUGUCUGAGUUAAUUGACACCUGAUGACACAUGCGAUCUUUGCGUCAUUUGUUUGGGUGAAGAGCAAGCACGUGAUGUGUUUGAGGAGGCAAUUGGCGUGCAUUGUGAGUGUUUUUUUUUUUUUUUUUUUUUAAGGAAAAAAAGCUCCACUCUCGUUCGUCUCUCUUCCGAAAAAAAAAGGACAAAAAAGGCAGUCAUCUGCUUCCCGCGGUUCAGGACCUGGCACUGCUGAGGCACGGAGGAGAAUGAGCUCGUGAGAAUACAGGUGGAUCUUUUUGAAUGUUUUAAAGAGGGAUUUUCCCUUUCGCGCUCGUAUUGGCGACGGACAAGAGAGAGUCUUGAGAGGAUGAUGUUAUAUCUUAAACACUAUCUAAUACUGAGGUUAGUGCUUUGCUGGGUUUUUACCCAGGGAAAGCAGGAGAUAUUUUAGGAUGGUGAAGAAGCUGAGGCUGAGCCUUCUCAAUUCUCCUGCCCUGCGUAUGUAGAGCUGUUAGAAGUUAUGGAUCGUGCCACGGCAAACUUGGACUUGCCAUGGUAAUGCGCUAACAAGAUGACAAUGUAAGGCCAUUAAAAAAAAAAAAAAACAGAUGAGUGUUUUCUUUCUGACCAUAGCUCAGGUGAGCCUUCAGACACGGGUCACAACGAGGUGUUCCCCAUAGCGGUCCCUAGAGGACGCAGUGUCUCGUUCCCUACUCAGGGAACCAUGGUUACAUUCGUAACCUGAGACGAUUAGUUUGCUAGCAUUCAAUCUUAGACUUUAAAAUCUUACCCCUUGCAAUCUUGAAUAUUUUGUUUCCUCCCUGAUAAGUAAUAAUUUAGCGUACAAUUUUAUCUAAAAUGAAUUUCUGUACUCUUAUUAGACAAUCCCCCUAAUAAGCAACCUGAGGUUAAAUGCCUUGCACAAAAGCUCAGUGGUGAUAUAGCUCAUGACUUACUUCUUACAAGAUUCUAAACCAGCAUCCUAGCUUCAUUCAUUUAAGCUUCAGACACAAUCUUUUUAUAACAAUACUUUUGCUCGUACAAUUUUCUCUUUGUCACUAAAGAAUACAAUUGGCAGGGCAAUAUACUAUUUCCAUCUGUUAAAUAUUUAUAGCUCAAUACAAUCAAGUGGUCAAGCAGGAGUGUGAAUCUUCAGAGUAAUUUAAUGUAGUACAAUUGUUUCCUCUAGCAGAGCAGUGGGUAAUUACAUUUUAAAGCUUUGACACCUAAAACCCUUCCAAUAUGAUUCAUUAUGAUACCUCUGCUCAGUUGAAUAAGGGAAACAGAAAAAGUAUGCUUUAUUUAACUGCAAAUAGAUUACAUAUUUAUACACACGUGGUCAGAAAUGUUGGUAUCUUUGGUAAAUAUGAUCAGAGAAGGCUGUGACAAUAAAUCUGCAUUGUUAAUCAUUUUGGUCCAUUAUUAAAAAAAAAAAGAAAAAUCAGAAAUUUCAUUAGAGCAUAAGAAUAAUGAAUAAAAUGUUUUUUUUUUCCCUCAAAUACAUGUUGGACACCAAUUACUGGUACCCAUAGAAUUUCCUAUGAGUAAAAUAUAUCUGAAACAUAUUCCUAUUCAUAUUCACAAUUUUGAGCUUCCUGUUUCACAGAAAUAUGAAUAGGAGUGAAAACAAAGGCCAAAUUCCAAAUUAAUCACCCAUCACAAUGAGAAAAACCAAAGAAAAUAUUUCUGAUGUGCGGCAACAGAUAAUUGAGCUUCACAAAUUAGAAAGUGGCUUUUAGAAAAGAUCUAGAGCAGUGAAAAUACCCAUUUCCACCAUCAGGGCAAUAAUUAAGAAGUUCCAAUCAACAGAAAAUAUUAUGAAUCUGCCUGUAAGAGAACGUGUCUAAUGCAUGGUGAGUAGUAGAGUUUGAGUGGCCGAAGACUAUUCAAGGAUCACAGCUGGAGAAUUGUAGAAGUUUGAGUCUCGGGGUCAGAAAUCAUUUAAAAAAAAAUUAUUAAAUAGCACCUACAUCACUAUAUGUAGUUUGAAAGGGGUUCAAGAACAAAAUCAAGAAAAAAAUAAUACUUUCAAAAACAAAAAACAAUCUCCAGCAUAUUUAGUCAUCAGACAUGACUGGAACUUCAAACAGGACUAGCUUCUAUGGUUAAAUUAAUCUAAAACAUUUGCAUUUUAGCAGCCACUCCUUAAGAUGGG
Molecule: long non-coding RNA, 3408 nt
Filed under: Carassius auratus (goldfish)
Lineage: Eukaryota; Metazoa; Chordata; Actinopteri; Cypriniformes; Cyprinidae
Description: lncRNA (ENSCARG00000042345.1)
Source: RNAcentral